UAAAACGGGACGUUGCUUUCAACAGCUCUGAGUAUGUUUUUUUUUUCUUCUUCUUUUUUCCCCCCUCAUUUAUUUUACCCCUCCAUAGGGGCUGAGUGUGGGAACGGAGGAGCUGAACACGCAGCGCCAGACGAAUCCUCAGCCUCUAUGCGGGUAUAAGAAUUAAGGGUGAUUGGUGGAGUAAGGUAAAUCAGGAGAUUGUAUGUAGAGUGUCAAUGGUCCAUUUGGGUGAUAGGUGGCGGUAAUGCACUUGUGUGUUUGCGAUCCGCCGUAAAACAACAACAACAACAACAACAAGAAGAAGAAGAAGAAGAAGAAGAAGAAGAACAACAACAACAACAACAACAACAGCUCUGAGUUUACAGAUUGCUUAAAUGUGGAUUUCUUCAUUAACGUCAACAGGAGCCUAAGGUGUGAUGAGAAAGUUUGCAGUGGUCUAAUAGGUCAGUGGAGAGGAUGCUGGGAUGUAUAGCGAGGUGAAAACCCAUGCCAUACGUAAAUAUGAUGACACCAAGAUGGAUGACGAUGGAUACCCGCAAACUGACUAUUCAGCUGCUGUGGAAUGGCAAAAAGGGAAAAAGCCAAAACAUGGCUGGCCAGUGUACACUGCCUCUAUCAAGUUUGUGAGCAGUAAGUAGACAAUCGAUUUCAUACUAAUGCUAAGAUUAAGGAAUUCCUGCGCUUGGAGUCUGAUGAAAGGGACAAGCCAUUGCCUAAGAAAAGGGCCUCAGUACCGCCAUCAAGAUAUACAGAUUCAGAUGAAACUGAUGUUGAGAAUACACCGACCCAAAGGAAAAGGACAGUGAUUCCCAGACCACAGAGAAAUGUUGCCCGAAUGAUUGUUGAUGAGUAUCAAGCCACAACCUUGACAGAGACUCAGAAGAAGCUGAAGGAAAUGGAGGAGGAAAAUGAACAAUUGAGAAAUAAUGAAAAAUUUAGAUAAAUGGUCAUUAGAGAGUUACCAAAUCUGAUAAAUGAAGUGAAGAUGGCCCUGAAGUCUCAGCAUUCGUCAACGUCGUCAGUCAGCUCUGACUUUGAAGGUGGACAGGGUUUGCCACAAUGAAGACUGCACUUUUCAACGAACCAUUUGGAAAUCAGUAUCUAUAUCAAACUAUUGCAGCCCUUGGCAACACUGCAUAAUAAAUUGUUUUCGUACUCUUCCUAAAAACAGGUGGAAAUUUCUCCUGGAUCUAAUGUAUUCGUUGACAGACUGGCUUGGGCUGUGGCCCAGAAUGCGAACUCCGCCUCUUGUUUUGUGAGAACACUCCUGACGGCAGUGUUCCCAAUUGAUGUGUUCCUUGUGAGCAAUCUUCGAGGAACAUCCAGGGAUUCUGGGCCACAACGCCAGGCUCUUGACCAAAUGAAAGUGGAAGCAAUCUACAGAGCAAUGUUGCAAAUGUGGCCUCAUGUGAUGCCCUCCAGCACUGGUGCAGCCAUCAAUGCCAAACUUACUGAAAUUAGAGGGAAGAAGAAAACACAAGAACAUAUGGAAACCUUAAUGCUCUUUGAUGAUUAAUGGCCAUGACAGUGUGUUCAAGGUAUUUUUUUUAUUUAUUUAUUUGUGUGUUUUACUGAGCAAAGGUCAGUUUGCUAUCAAGUUGGAAUUCUAAAUUACUCAUGUGAAGAAUAAUUUGAUUGUGUGUCACUAUGAUUGUGUUGAAAUAAGUAUUUCCAUCGCAAAUUUGUGUAAGUCAUUGACUGAAAUCCUAUAUGAUUAGUAUAUGCAGAGAUAUUGUAAUAUUGACUGAUCAUGUAUGAUAAUUAUAUUUAGAGAUAUAGUAAUAUUAUUUCUGUAAUAUGAGGAAUUAGGUGGAAACAUAUAAAGCUUGAAGAGCAGGCACAUUAUUUCCCUAUUAAAAACAUAUGAAAUCUAUAUGAAAUACAUAUAAACAAAUGACACAAAAUGUAAAUAAAUCCUAUAUGACUUUAA
Long non-coding RNA from Myxocyprinus asiaticus (Chinese sucker), 1930 nucleotides. RefSeq lists it as uncharacterized. The transcript has 6 exons. Lineage: Eukaryota; Metazoa; Chordata; Actinopteri; Cypriniformes; Catostomidae. The record is from RefSeq and is a predicted model, not a curated record.